AACGCACAUUGCGCCCCUUGGUAUUCCAUUGGGCAUGCCUGUUCGAGCGUCAUUUAAACCCUCAAGCUCCGCUUGGUGUUGGGCGUUUUGUCUACGGACUCGCCCCAAAUCUAUUGGCAGCAGCCUCACCGGCUUCUUGCGCAGUACAAUGCGCUUUAAGAAGCUUGUGUAGUGGUAUGCAAUCCAGUAAGCAAUUCUUUAUUUUGACCUCGAAUCAGGUAGGGAUACCCGCUGAACUUAA
This 241-nucleotide unclassified non-coding RNA is filed under the name uncultured Dictyosporiaceae. Its description in RNAcentral is "sequence contains ITS2". Lineage: Eukaryota; Fungi; Ascomycota; Dothideomycetes; Pleosporales; Dictyosporiaceae. The record is from RNAcentral.